This 73-nucleotide transfer RNA is filed under the name Canis lupus familiaris (dog). It matches the Rfam family "tRNA". Rfam says of the family: Transfer RNA (tRNA) molecules are approximately 80 nucleotides in length. RNAcentral also lists the same sequence under 1 other name. The record is from Rfam by way of RNAcentral. Lineage: Eukaryota; Metazoa; Chordata; Mammalia; Carnivora; Canidae.
GCCUGACUGGCUCAGCCAGUAGAGCAUGUGACUCUUGAUCUCAGGGUUGUGAGAUCAAGUCCCAUGUUGGUUG